UAUUAGGCUCAACACCUCACUUAUGUGUAGUUUAGAUUCAUUCAUCGCCCUUAUUUUGUCAUUCCAGACAUCAUGUAAUCAAAACACACAUUGUCGAUCACAAGUUCUCAAUUCUUAAGUAGGAAAAGAUCAAGUUAUCACACAUAUUCAAUCUAACAGCAUGCUCCACAACUGAACUUAUCAAUUACUUGGCCAGAAAACUCACAAAACUCAACAUAAACUGACUCAACAAGCAAAGACUCAACGACGCCCCCCCUCACACUUAAAUUUUACUUGCCCUCAAGCAAAACAAAAUAAAGCAUAAGGAAGGGACAACGAAAAACACAUAACAACACUCAA
RNAcentral lists this long non-coding RNA (339 nucleotides) under Salvia miltiorrhiza (redroot sage). Its description in RNAcentral is "long non-coding RNA (SMIL_LNC010734)". Lineage: Eukaryota; Viridiplantae; Streptophyta; Magnoliopsida; Lamiales; Lamiaceae. The record is from RNAcentral.